UCCCAUGUUUUUUUGGGUGUUUUUACCCGAGAGACAAAACGGCGACAAAUUUCUCGAAUUCCCCGCUCCUCUCCUAAUGAGUUAUGUGGUCGUUUGGAAAAAGGAAAACCGUUUGGCCAGCAGUGGCCACUGCUAAAAAUGAAAAAAGACGAUGAUGGGUGAUGAUCAGAAAUCAUCCACACCUUUUCCUCGGAGAAAA
Molecule: non-coding RNA, 199 nt
Organism: Caenorhabditis elegans
Lineage: Eukaryota; Metazoa; Nematoda; Chromadorea; Rhabditida; Rhabditidae
Source: Ensembl